This 29-nucleotide non-coding RNA is filed under the name Rattus norvegicus (Norway rat). Lineage: Eukaryota; Metazoa; Chordata; Mammalia; Rodentia; Muridae. The record is from RNAcentral.
UUAUUUAACAGGAACCUAAGUGUGGCUAU